Molecule: long non-coding RNA, 248 nt
Filed under: Hordeum vulgare
Lineage: Eukaryota; Viridiplantae; Streptophyta; Magnoliopsida; Poales; Poaceae
Description: long non-coding RNA (HVUL_LNC018425)
Source: RNAcentral
CAGGCCCAACUUUGGUUUUAAUCUGCUAAUAACUUAAUAAAAUGCAUAGGGAAUAGCUGCCCCGAGGAAUUAAUCAACAACCCGGGCCAGUGCUCCUCAUGAGUGUUGGUCCAAACCGGGCGAUGUCCGGCGCCCCCUGGUCACCCAAGGUUUAGCCAACCCGACGUCCUGCCCAUCCGUCGUGUCCUGAGAACGAGAUACGCGGCUCCUAUCGGGUUCGUCGACACGACGGGCGGCCUUGCUGGAUU